RNAcentral lists this ribosomal RNA (321 nucleotides) under Triticum aestivum (bread wheat). RNAcentral describes it as "partial small subunit ribosomal RNA". The record is from RNAcentral. Lineage: Eukaryota; Viridiplantae; Streptophyta; Magnoliopsida; Poales; Poaceae.
AUGAUGCUGGCGCUGGUUUCGUACCCCGCGGCGAACAGAGUCCUGCACUCGCCGAUCAUCUCCUGGGUGCUCAGAGUCUCGGCGCCGCUGCCACUGCGACAUGCCUGCUGCUGCAGCAUCUGCCCGAGCAGGUCGUCCUCGUAUACGCUGCUGGCAAGUCGCGCCUUCAUGAUGGGUGAGAUCUUGCUUGUCACAAGCUUGUCGAGCUGCCACAUCCGACGGUUGCGACGUGUCGGCAGGUACCUAGGAUUAACCAAUAUUAAUUUCGAUCGAUUCAUUCAUUCUGGCUACUCUUUCGAGUUUCUACCUGAAUCCAGGUAA